CACGUAGGCGGAUAUUUAAGUCAGGGGUGAAAUCCCAGAGCUCAACUCUGGAACUGCCUUUGAUACUGGGUAUCUUGAGUAUGGAAGAGGUAAGUGGAAUUCCGAGUGUAGAGGUGAAAUUCGUAGAUAUUCGGAGGAACACCAGUGGCGAAGGCGGCUGUCUGGUCCGGUUCUGACGCUGAGGCGCGAAAGCGUGGGGAGCAAACA
RNAcentral lists this ribosomal RNA (207 nucleotides) under uncultured bacterium. RNAcentral's name for it is "partial 16S ribosomal RNA". It matches the Rfam family "Bacterial small subunit ribosomal RNA", at positions 568 to 774 of the family's 1533-position model. The record is from RNAcentral.